UGGCGUAGUGGUUACUGCGAUCGCCUUGCACGCGGGAGACCCGGGUUCAAUUCCCGG
Molecule: transfer RNA, 57 nt
Filed under: Diaphorina citri (Asian citrus psyllid)
Lineage: Eukaryota; Metazoa; Arthropoda; Insecta; Hemiptera; Psyllidae
Source: Rfam by way of RNAcentral